RNAcentral lists this long non-coding RNA (957 nucleotides) under Gallus gallus (chicken). RNAcentral's name for it is "lncRNA (ENSGALG00010012637.1)". The record is from RNAcentral. Lineage: Eukaryota; Metazoa; Chordata; Aves; Galliformes; Phasianidae.
CACUGCCAAUUAGAAUGCAUUUGUAGUAGAAAUGCUAAGUCAGGGCUUGACCCAGUGAUUGAGCACCUGGUGGGAAGGCAGGGCCAACCCAGGAGAGCUCAGGUGUAAGGAAUACAGCUGAGGGACCAGAACGGGUGGAGCCAGGAUGCACUCCUUCCCAGACCUCAUUUAAGGGUUGGCAGUGAAGACAAGUGUCCAGAACAACUGCAUACCCCAGGGGGCUUUGUGUUCAGAGAGGAGAUAUAACUUCUGGUAACAUCACCUGAUGUCCCUUUUUUCCUUCAGCUCUCCUCCCUGCUGCUCGACCCAACUGCGUGUCUCACUUCAAAAUUAUGACUUGAGAUCUGGAUCCUGUUCCCAGCUUUGGUGUUGCAAUUUCCUGUUCCACCCAUUCCUUCCAAUAUGCAGGGCUAUUGGAAAAACACUUCAGACAGAAAUAUUUUAUCUUGCAUCUGGCUCAGCUGCACAAAGAUUCACAAGAGUAACAGGACUUUUGCAUAAUGAAAUGGAUGGGGAAAGCCAGGUGCCGGGAAGAAGGAUGAGAAGAUCUGAAGGUGAAUAUUCUGCUGGUGGUGACACUGAACUUAAAGCAAGGAGACUGGCUAAUGGAAAUGAUUAUGGAAGUGGAAGUGACAGCUGCUGAAGUGGAAGGGAAAACUGAAGAUUUAAAGUGCCGAAAAUAUGUUUGCAGCACUGAAGAAGAGGUUCUGUUGUUUCACUCUUUCUCACACUCAUCUGUGUAUAAAAACCAAUGCAUUUUCCACAAAAUUUUCUUCAAAACAGAUGUAUUUGGGUCCCUUCAUUAAGUUAAUAUUUUCCUAAUUUCUCUCAUGUGCUGGAAAGGAAUACUUAGCUUUUAAUUAAAUUUUAAUUAAAAUUAAGAAUUACUGUUUUUCUAACAUUUAUUUCUUUAUGUUAUGAGAUCUGUAAAGAUGAGCUAGAAAGAAGCUGGCAUGC